AUAAUUAGAAUGGCAAUAGCACUGUUUAUGAAUAUGUUGCUUCUAUCUCUUCCUUUCUUCCUCUUCAUAACUCUCCUGAAACGUAGCAUUAGCAACCAUGGCGAUUGCAAUCAUCUUCCCCCAGGCCCUCCAAGUCUUCCCUUGAUUGGUCACUUACAUAUGUUGAUGUUUGGUAACUCAGACCUCCUCCAUAUUUUCCUUUGGAAACUCUCUAAACAAUAUGGUUCUCUCCUGUCCUUACGACUUGGAUUUAGGCCAACCCUUGUAGUUUCUUCAGCAAAAAUGGCUAAGGAGGUUAUGAAAACUCGUGACCUCGACUUCUGCAGCAGGCCUAAUCUAUGUGCUAUUCGCAAAUUAUCUUACAAUACAUCGGAUUUGUCUUUUUCACCAUACAGUGAGUCCUGGAAGGAGAUUAGGAAAAUUUGUGUUAUACAUCUGUUCAGCAGAGUGCGAAAGUAUCGUUCCAUUCGAGAAGACGAAGUUGCUCACCUGGUUGAGAAAAUAUGUCGAUUAUCCGUUGAUUCUAAGCCUGUCAACUUGAGUGAGGCAAUGGUGUGCUUAUCCUGUUCAAUAAUUUCAAGAGUGGGCUUCGGUAAGACUUACGAUGAAGAAGGAGCUGAAGGAAGUAGGUUACAUGGGCUGAUUAAAGAAAGUGUAGCCAUGUUUACAAGCUUUAGUCUGACUGUUUUCCUUUCAUGGGUUGGGUUGAUAGAUUCACUGGGUUUCACGCUCGUCUUGAAAAAUUUUCCAUAGAACUUGAUACCUUCUAUCAACAACUCAUUGAUGAACAUCUUAAUCCGAAUAGGCUAAAACCAGAGCAAGAGGACAUACUCGAUGUGCUAUUACAGACAUGGAAGGACCGUGAUUUUCUAUUUGAUCUUACCCUAGAUCACAUAAAAGCUGUUAUUAUGGUUAUUUCAUCUUCACCCAAAGCGUUUAUUAUUAGCUUCACGCUUUAUGUAUCAUAACUUUGAUUUUUUUUUUUUAACUUCUGCAGGAUGUUCUUUUUGCUGGAACGGAGACAACUGCGGUUACCGUGAUUUGGGUCAUGAGCUUCUUUAUGAAAAAUCCAGAGUGUUUGAAGAAAGCUCAAGAGGAAGUAAGGGAUUUGAUUGGGAAAAAUAGAUUUCUAAACGAAGAUGAUGUUCAAGCUUUAACUUACCUAAAGGCUGUGGUAAAAGAAACAUUCAGAUUGCAACCAACACUUCCAUUGUUGCUACCACGAGAAACACUUCGAAAAUGCUGCAUAGGUGGGUACCAAGUACCUGCCAAUACCUUGGUGUAUGUGAAUGCAUGGGCAAUAGGAAGAGACCCUGAAGCUUGGAGAAACCCUGAAGAAUUUUGUCCUGAAAGGUUCAUUGGCAGCUCUAUUGACUACAAAGGGCUAAACUUUGAGCUCAUACCGUUUGGUGCGGGUAGAAGGGUUUGCCCUGGAAUGCAUAUGGCAGUUGCAGCAGUGGAGCUUGUUCUUGCUAAUCUUCUUUACAAGUUCGAUUAGGAAAUGCCGACCGAAAUGAACAAGGCAAACUUAAACUUUGAUGGCACACCUGGCUUAGUUACGCACAAAAAAGAUGCUCUUAUCCUUGUGGCUGGGAAGAUUAAUGAUUAAUCAGUGUAUCAUUAUAGUAACUUAUUUGAUGCUUAUUGCUCUAGUUUCUACUUUGUACAGUUUCAUCUUGAACACUUAUCAAACGUUAGAAACACCUCGCUUGUUUAAUUAACCUGCAAUUACAGCUAUGUUUGUCAAGCUACCAUCUCAAUUGAAUAUAUAUAUAUUGCAAAAAGCAAUUUAUAUAUAUCUGCAAAUAUACAAAUAUGUGUUAUCCAUUAACCAUUAUUAUCCUUACAUAUAUAGUAUGAAGGAAUAUUGUAUUUCUCAGUUGGUGUGUGGUACAAUUAACAAACACUAGUUUUCAUUCUUUAAUCACACAGGUUAGUUGUAUGUAUUACAUAUACGAAUGAAAUAAUGUAUUCUUACAAAUAUGCACAUAGCUUACAAGAUUAAGCAUUAAACUAGGUUCAAACCAAAACAUUAUUCACAAGAAACACAUAGACAAACACCUAAGUUCAUGCCACAAUAUCGAGUUACAAAAUGAGCAAAAGUUUACUGAGGUGAUAGGUGAAUAGUAUGAGCUUCAAGGCGAUCCGAACGACACGAUCCGCAAACCGACAAUCUACAGAAAAAGGAAAAACACUGGGUAAGCAUUUCAAAUACUUAAUAAGCCCAUAUAAAACUUAUCUACAGAAAAAGGAAAAACACUGGGUAAGCAUUUCAAAUACUUAAUAAGCCCAUAUAAAACUUACUCAACUUACCUUAACAUUUUAACAAUUAGGUAAAUGUACUACAUUGAAAUUAAGCUUAAAAUUCCUUUUGCAUCACAUUCCUCUAUAUGCAAUUCAAUAAAUACAUCAAUGGUUAGUUCAAUUCCAUAGCACAAGUUUAUAUCACAAUCAUAUAGAUGCAUAAAUUUCCAUCACAUAACAUAUAUAAACUACUUUAUAUUUAAAACUUUAACAUGUAUAAUUCUAUUUACAUAUGUAUUCAUUUCUAUUUUCACCCAGAGAACUCUAGUAAAUUGAACUAGGAUACACGAGAUUGAUUUAAUUACAUAUGUUGACAUUACCGGACUACUAACACUAGCUUAGUACGAUGCUAUUAACAUUAGCUUCAGAGAAUUGCAACAUAUGUUGGAUCUCAAGUCAUCGUCUCAAUUUCUCAUUUUUCUUUUCUGUAUCAUUUCAAACCCUAUAACCAUAUACACACUUUUCAUAUAUCGAAUAGUAAUUCAUAUACAUCUUAACUUUGUAACAUCAUCAUAUACACAUCUUCCAAUAUUAUAACAAUUUCACAUCAUUCGAUACCAUAUAUUUCAUAAUUUACAAUUUAGUUCAUUCGAUGCCAAAGAUCAUUGAAAUUAAAAUUAACCUAAAUUAAUAAACACUAUUGUAACAAGCCAAAUUCGUCCGGCCCAAACCCAAACAAAACAAACCAAAAAACAGUUAAAACAAAAAAUAAAUAAAACUCCAUUAACACUCCAAAUUACAAGCCUAAAACCCAAUCUACUAACCUAAACUCCAAGCCCAAAUACAAAAAAAACCCUAAAGCCCAAUAGCCAACUAUCUUAAACUUAAAAAAAAACCCUAAAAGUCCCUAUGCCUCUAGCCGCCGCCCUCACCACAUUAGCAGGCAUGUCGUCUAAGGCCUGGCACCUCCUCGUCCUUCCCACCACCGCCCGCAAAAAACAGAGAAAUAGAGACAAAGAAGCAGAGAAAAGAAAGAAAAAAUAUUAUUAUUUUGUAAUAUAUUUCGGCUAUAAAAGCCGAAAAUAGAUUGUAACAAAAAAAAUUUGGCAGAGAAUACAAAAAAACAACCAAGUUAAAAAAGGUGGUUCUUUUAUUUAAUCUACUAUUUUAUUUUACUUUUUUUCAUAAAAAGCAUAUAAAAUAAUAAACAAGGUUUAAAAAAAACUUACCUCAUCGCUUCAUCUUCCACCACCGUCGUUGAUGGCUUUCUGCCAAUUCGAAUGGUCUAUGAACCCAUUAGUCGUCAAUGGCCUCGACGGAGAAGAGGAAAAUAGAAUACAACAAAAAAAAAAACAAAGGUAGUCAAUCUUUUUUUAUACCUUUUUAUUUCGUAAAAUAUAAAAAUAAAAAAAUAUAUUUAAAUUUUUUUACCUGUUAAGCGCCUUCGUAGAAUCCCUUCCUCCGACUCGAAAAGCCUCGGAACCCCUAGGGUUCCGUUGAGGGCCUCGUCGGAGAAGGGAGAAACCAAAAGGUUUCUUUUCCUUCGAUUAAACCUUGACUAAAUUUCUAGGGAUUUUAAAUCCCAAAUAUGUAUUCUACUCGAAAAGAGGGUCAAAAGGGCCUAUUUUGGGGAACUCUGGCCACCGGAGGCGGCAAUCUCCGUCGUCGAUGACCGGUGGCCACGGUAGAGACCCACCAUCUCAUGGCCGGACAGAAAAGGGGUUGAGACAGUAGAGAGAGUUUUUUUUUUAAAAAGGUUACCAAUGAUUUUUUUUAAAAGAUUUUUUUGACUUAUAUAAGCUCAUUAAAACAGCGUCAUUUUGGGUUUGGCUUCAAACGCCCAAAACGGCGUCAUUUCAAGCCUAAUCCGAAUUUCGACCCGACCCUUCUUAGGAUCUGCGUGUUUUUGAAUGGAGGGGCUAAUUGCCAUUUUGGUUCUUCCACCUUUUUGCCCCUUUUUAAUCUUGUCUUAUUUCUUUUUUAUUUAUUUUAAUUUUACCCCUUUUAAUUUAUUUUCUUACAUUUUAGUCCCUUGACCUACUGUUGACCCACUGAGGGUGACACGUGUACUAGGGUUGGGGAAAAUAGCACACUAGGUGGCUAUAUUUUUCCACUUUGUUUUAAUUUAAUCCUUUAUUUAUUUUUUUCUUGCAAUUCAGACUUUAAAAUGUUUUAGGGUUUCAAUUUAGUCCUUAUUUUUUAUUCAGUCCCUUUACUUUAUGUUAUUUAAAUUCCAACAUGUUUAAAUUUUUAUUUAUUAUUUUUUUCCCUUUAAAUUAUGAAAUUUACAUUUUACCCUCAAAUUUCCCAAUUAUUUCCUUUUAGUCUUUUAUUUACUUCUUUGUUUUUUUUUUAAUUUGCACUUUAAAUUUAGUCCUCUAUUCAUUUUAUUCAGCAUAUUUAUUUCAUUUUAAUUCCCUUCACUUUUAAUCUUUGUUAUUUAUAUUUUUUCCCCUUCAAAUUGUAUAAUUUGUUAUUUGGUCCUUAAAUAUUAUUAUUAGCACUAAUUAACAUGUUUUUAUAACAUUAUUAUUAGUUAUGAUAUAUUGCAUUAUUUAUGUUCUUAUGACAUCAUAUACAACAUUUAAACAUACUCGUGUAUCUCAUACAGGGUAUUAUGUUCAAAUAAGUCCAUAGUAUGUCAUAUUAGAAGCCUCGUUUUCAUACAUUGUAUAUUUAGCAAUUUGAACCAAUGCGGUGUUCUUUAAUUAGGGGAUUCAAGAAAUUGUGCCUCUAACUUACGGAGUAUGAUUUUCUCUUUGAACCGAAAUAAUCAAACUUUCAUCCUCUUUUUUAAAAAAAUAAAUUUUAAAAAUACAUUGGGCAAUAAUUAAACGACGAGCGUUCUUAUUUUUGAGAAUUCGAGGUUUUGGGUCCCAACUUACAGGACAUGACUUUUCAUCUUAAUCGGCCCGAAAUGGGAAAACCUCCUCAUUAAAAAUUCAAUUUAGAUAGUGACAUUUUCAGUGCCAUCAAAUAACAUCAUGUAAAAAGGGAUCUCAUUUUAAAUUCUCUUCGGAUUCUCAAUUUUUGACGUCAAGAUAUUAAGUAAUCAACUAGGUAUUAAUUUUGGGCAUUAUGAGGGUGCUAAUCAUUCCUCAUACGUAACCGACUCCCGAACCCAUUUCCUGAAUUUUGUAGACCGAAAAUCAUCUUUUUAGUAAAUCUAACAUUUUAUUAAAAUAACCAAGUUUUGAGGUGAUCUAAUCACACCUAAUUAAAAAGGAUUGGUGGCGACUCCAUUUUCACUUUAAAAUAACAAGUCAAUUGCCAACAAGGUUUCGAAAAUUAUAAUAUAAUUCAAACAUAACAUAAAAUAACAUAGUUAGUUCCAUAUGAGCUUACCUGGAAAAACAGCAAGCAAACAAGGUGUUAAGGACUAAUCUACAAUUUCUCCUUUUUUUCAAUUAUCUUUCAAUUGAUUCAAAUUUUGAUCUAUAAUAAUUUAUUACAAUUUAUCAUUUCUAAACAUCUAUUAACAAUCUACUUUAACCAUAAAUCAGUUCAAUUUCUUUUUUUUGAUUUUUUUUUAAAUUUUACAUUUUAUUCAAUUUAGUCCCUAAAAUCAAAAUAGCUAUAACUUUUAAAUUUGAGCCUCGAUUUUGAAAUCAAUCUCAAUUCCAUUCUUCUACAGCCCUCUAAUAACUAUAUUUAUAGAAAUUUCACGCAAAAUUCAAAAUUAUUACAUUUUAGUCCCUAAAUUCAAAACUAACAUUUUUCACUUUACAAACUAGUUAUUUUUCAAAUCUAAGCUUAAAAUUAAACUAUUUAACACUAAAACUUCAAGCAUUCAUCAAUUGCAUCAUUUAUAAUCUUUAAAAAUUUCGGAAAGUAAUACUUGAGUUAACUAAAUCAAACUGUAAUGAUAUCAAAAACAUAAAGUUUACAAAAAAAAAAUGAACUUUUAAUUUAGUUACAUGCAAGGGCAGAAGACCUUAAAAACAAAACAAUGGCUUCUUCUUUUUCUUCCUCCUACAAUCAGUGGGGGAUGAUGGGAAAAUAAAAGAUGGUGACUUUCAUUUUAAUAUUUUAUGUUUAUUUUAUUCUUUUAACUUAUUAUAUUUUUAAUUUUAUUUUAUCUAAUCCUCCAACCACCCGUCCACUAACAUAUAAAAUGGCUUAUUUUCCAUUUUGUACCAUGGUUUAAUUACUACUUUAGUCAUUUAGCAAUUACAAAUCUAUAGCAAUUAACUUUUGUUGUUUUUAUGAUUUAGUCAUUGUACUCUAAUUAGCUAUCUAAACAGCAAAAUUAAUGGGCCAAACUUCAAUUAAAUUUUAUACUAACCUUGUAAAUAUUAUAUUUAAUAUUUAUGGACUGGCUCGUCGAAAAUGAGGUUCUGAAACUACUGUUUCUGACACCACUGACUUUCAGGUCGAAACACCUGUACAUUAACUGACUAUCCAAUUAACAAAAUCGUCAAACCAAAAUUUAAUAUAAUACUCAAAUUAACUCACAAAUAUUAAUUAAUAAUAUUUACGAAAUUGAUCAUCGGAGAACAGGAUUUCGAAACUACUAAAAAAUAGGUUGUUAUAAUAUAAUAUUAAAAGUGCAUGAUUAUAUAAAUAUUGUUUUUUAUACUGUAUAAAUAUUGUUUAAAUUUUUAAAAAUUGUAUGAAAUUUUUAAAAAGUUUUUUUUAGGUAAUAUGUUUCUAAACUAUUAUUUCUUAUUUUUAAAAAUAAAAAAAGUAUCUUUUUAUAUUAAUAUAAGCUUUUAACAGUCUUUGAAUGAAAAAUAAAGGUUUGCAUAUUUUCAAAUUAAUUAUAAAUAAAUUUUUAUAUUUAUUAUAAUUUUUUAAUGAGUUGAAAUUCGAAUCAGAAUUUAGAAACAAAACAACUAAAUUUAGAAGAAUAUUUACAUUUCACAAAAUAGAAAAUUUUCAAAGGAAUACUAUAAUAAAUAUCGAUAAUGACAAUAGAAUAAUAAGAAAAAAAUAAAAAUAUAUAAAUUUUAUGUAAAAAUCCUUUCGGAUUACAGAUAAAAAAAAGUUUAUUAAUAUUAAAAAACUAAUAUAUAUUAGGCGCAUUGACAUAUACCCACAAACUCUAAUCAUAUCUAAUAAAGUGGUGGACAUAGAUACAUCUAACCCAAUAGCACUGAUAAUGAUACUUCUAUUAACUCAGUCUCCUAAAUCAUUGUAUUAGCCAUAAUGUCAAUUUUAUUCUUCAUUCAGUCUAAUUUCUUGUUUGCUCAUCUAAAUGACAAGCUUUCAUUUUCUUUAAACUUAAAAAGUCUUAAGAGUAAUAAAAUGAUUGAAAAAGAGUAGGAUAAGUGGACUCUUCCUCUCAAGUUUCAAACAAAUUAGAGCAGAUAAUUAGAAUGGCAAUAGCACUGUUUAUGUUCAUCUUUCUUCUAGCUCUCCCUUUCUUCCUCUUCAUAACUCUCCUGAAACGUAGCAUUAGCAACCAUGGCGAUUGCAAUCAUCUUCCCCCAGGCCCUCCAAGUCUUCCCUUGAUUGGUCACUUACAUAUGUUGAUGUUUGGUAACUCAGACCUCCUCCAUAUUUUCCUUUGGAAACUCUCUAAACAAUAUGGUUCUCUCCUGUCCUUACGAUUUGGAUGUAGGCCAACCCUUGUAGUUUCUUCAGCAAAAAUGGCUAAAGAGGUUAUGAAAACUCGUGACCUCGACUUCUGCAGCAGGCCUACUCUAUGUGCUAUUCGCAAAUUAUCUUACAAUGUCUCGGAUUUGUCUUUUUCACCGUACAGUGAGUAUUGGAAGGAGAUUAGGAAAAUUUGUGUUGUACAUCUGUUCAGCAGGGUGCAAAAGUAUCGUUCCAUUCGAGAAGACGAAGUUGCUCGCCUGGUUGAGAAAAUAUGUCGAUUAUCCGUUGAUUCUAAGCCUGUCAACUUGAGUGAGGCAAUGGUGUGCUUUUCCUAUUCAAUAAUUUCAAGAGUGGGCUUCGGAAAGAGGUACGAUGAAGAAGGAGCUGAAGGAAGUAGGUUACAUGGGCUGCUUAAAGAAAGUCAAGCCAUGUUUACAAGCUUUAGUUUUUCUGACUAUUUUCCUUUCAUGGGCUGGGUCGAUAGAUUCACUGGGUUUCACGCUCGUCUUGAAAAUCUCUUCAAAGAACUUGAUACCUUCUAUCAGCAACUCAUUGAUGAACAUCUUAAUCCGAAUAGGCUAAAACCAGAGCAAGAGGACAUACUCGAUGUGUUAUUACAGACAUGGAAGGAUCGUGAUUUUCUAUUUGAUCUUACCUUAGAUCAUAUAAAAGCUAUUAUUAUGGUUAUUUCAUCUUCAUCCGAAACGUUUAUUAUUAGCUUCACGCUUUAUUUAUGUAUAACUUCGAUUUUUUAACUUUGCAGGAUGUGCUUUUUGCUGGAACAGAGACAACAGCGGUUACCGUGAUUUGGGUCAUGAGCUUCUUGAUGAAAAAUCCAGGGUGUUUGAAGAAAGCUCAAGAGGAAGUAAGGGAUUUGAUUGGGAAAAAAGGAUUUCUAAAUGAAGAUGAUGUUCAAGCUUUAACUUACCUAAAGGCUGUGGUAAAAGAAACAUUCAGAUUGCAACCAGCAGUUCCAUUGUUGCUACCACGAGAAACACUUCGAAAAUGCUGCAUAGGUGGGUACCAAGUACCUGCCAAUACCUUGGUGUAUGUGAAUGCAUGGGCAAUAGGAAGAGACCCUGAAGCUUGGAGAAACCCUGAAGAAUUUUGUCCUGAAAGGUUCAUUGGCAGCUCUAUUGACUACAAGGGGCUAAACUUUGAGCUCAUACCGUUUGGUGCGGG
RNAcentral lists this long non-coding RNA (8967 nucleotides) under Gossypium barbadense (sea-island cotton). RNAcentral's name for it is "long non-coding RNA (GBAR_LNC020239)". The record is from RNAcentral. Lineage: Eukaryota; Viridiplantae; Streptophyta; Magnoliopsida; Malvales; Malvaceae.